UUGAGCUCAACUGUGCCCCUAAGUAGUAAGACUUUAAAGUUAAAACUUAAAGAACAUGGCGGCUUAAAUUAUUCAGGGGAACUUACUACAUAAACGAUGAUCCACGAGUCUACUUACCUGUUUUUACAGCUUAUAUACCGCCGUUUAGUACUUAAUUAAGUUGAGUACAAACAAAUUUCCUUUUGAAAUCAGGUCAUGGUGUAGCAAAUAAAUAGGUGUAAGCGAGUUACAAUAAGGUUUUUUUUCGGAUAUAGUAACAUGAGCUACUAUUAAAGUUGGACUUGAAAGUAAAAUAAAACAAAAAUACCAUUUGGAUUUUUAUUUUUAAGUGU
Molecule: ribosomal RNA, 332 nt
Filed under: Siphonaria sp. UF 313422
Lineage: Eukaryota; Metazoa; Mollusca; Gastropoda; Siphonariida; Siphonariidae
Description: partial 12S ribosomal RNA
Source: RNAcentral